AGGAGGCCAGGCCACAGCCAUAGCUUGAAACUAUUGGUGAGGACGUUCAACUCGUCCACCUCCUU
This 65-nucleotide transfer RNA is filed under the name Hyriopsis bialata. RNAcentral's name for it is "tRNA-Ser". The record is from RNAcentral. Lineage: Eukaryota; Metazoa; Mollusca; Bivalvia; Unionida; Unionidae.